Molecule: long non-coding RNA, 993 nt
Organism: Solanum pennellii
Lineage: Eukaryota; Viridiplantae; Streptophyta; Magnoliopsida; Solanales; Solanaceae
Exons: 4
Source: RefSeq, a predicted model, not a curated record
CUUUUUAUUUUUCUCAACCACACACGUCUCUCCACGCACCCACACCUCUCCUUCAUGAAAAACACUAUCGAUGAAGUUGGGAUUUCUGGUUUUAUUGUUCUUCCAGCAAACUUCGAGAAUUCAUCAAGCAGUAGGAACACAUCACUGAUGAAGCUAGAAAAAAUUCAGCAAAACUUAGAGGAAAUUGUGCAACAGAUGCUUCUCUCCCUUGUGUUAGGACUUAGGGUAAAAUCAGCAAUAUAGAGAUUCACAAUUGUGCAUAUUUCCCAGAUUUGUUAGAGGAAACUUAGUAGGUAGAGAUACAGACAUCUCUGUAUUCCAGCUUAUAAAGAGGUAAUUUGGAUCUCUUUGUUUUGAACACAGAACAACAAAAUGAUCCUUCUCUUCUUUCUGCUUGUUGUGACGUUGUGAUUUAUAUGAUUUGGACGCAAUCUUGAAGUUCUGUUCUCUUCAAGGUUGGAACAGCUGAGGCGGGGUGUGGAGGACCACAUGCAUGUGAAAAUCGAAUGAAUCACUAAAAAGACUCAUGGAUGAGUUAAAGAAUAAUUGUGAACGCAUGGAUGAGCUAGAGAGUAAAUAUGAAAAACUUACAAGAGUAUUGCUUGGUCAUCCUUCAACACCACCAUCAUCAAGUGAUAAAUAGAUGGUCCCAUUCAACAGGAAACACAUAAUUUUCCUUAUAACCUAUAGUUUCUGUUGACUCAAGCAUUUGAAUAUGUUGUUCAAGAAUGUAUGGAGCAAGUUGAAGAUCAAGAGUGCUUUUACUUUGGUUAAGGGUGUCAUUCAAGAAAGUACGGAGAAAGUUGAAGAUCAAGAGCGCUUUUACUUCGGUUAAGGGUGGUCGAAAGACUAUUUUGUUUUAUAUAUAUAUGUUGGAACUUUUUUCUUGUUAGGAGUUGAUAAAUAUAUGUCAGACCACUUGAUAUAUCUUUCUUUAUUUAGUUUUUGUAAUAACAAUGAAGUUUUAUAUGAUGAAUUAAAUUGUUUCAUAUA